This 494-nucleotide ribosomal RNA is filed under the name uncultured bacterium. RNAcentral describes it as "partial 16S ribosomal RNA". It matches the Rfam family "Bacterial small subunit ribosomal RNA", at positions 28 to 507 of the family's 1533-position model. The record is from RNAcentral.
GACGAACGCUGGCGGCGUGCUUAACACAUGCAAGUCGAACGGUGAAGCGCCUUCCUUUUUGGUGGGUGUGGAUGAGUGGCGAACGGGUGAGUAACACGUUAGUAACCUGCCCCCUUCUUCUGGAUAACCGCAUGAAAGUGUGGCUAAUACGGGAUAUUCUGGGUCUGUCGCAUGAUGGGUCUGGGAAAGAUAUUGUUUCGGUGGGGGAUGGGCUCGCGGCCUAUCAGCUUGUUGGUGGGGUGAUGGCCUACCAAGGCGGUGACGGGUAGCCGGCCUGAGAGGGUGGACGGUCACACUGGGACGGAGACACGGACAAGACUCCUACGGGAGGCAGCAGUGGGGAAUAUUGCACAAUGGGCGCAAGCCUGAUGCAGCGACGCCGCGUGAGGGAUGGAGGCCGUCGGGUUGUGAACCUCUUUCGCCAGUGAAGCAGGCCUGCCUAGUUUGUGGGUGGGUUGACGGUAGCUGGAUAAGAAGCGCCGGCUAACUACGUG